This 468-nucleotide ribosomal RNA is filed under the name uncultured bacterium. RNAcentral describes it as "partial 16S ribosomal RNA". It matches the Rfam family "Bacterial small subunit ribosomal RNA", at positions 28 to 507 of the family's 1533-position model. The record is from RNAcentral.
AACGAACGCUGGCGGCAUGCCUAACACAUGCCAGUCGAACGGAAAGGCCCUGCUUUUGUGGGGUGCUCGAGUGGCGAACGGGUGAGUAACACGUGAGUAACCUGCCCUUGACUUUGGGAUAACUUCAGGAAACUGGGGCUAAUACCGGAUAGGAGCUCCUGCUGCAUGGUGGGGGUUGGAAAGUUUCGGCGGUUGGGGAUGGACUCGCGGCUUAUCAGCUUGUUGGUGGGGUAGUGGCUUACCAAGGCUUUGACGGGUAGCCGGCCUGAGAGGGUGACCGGCCACAUUGGGACUGAGAUACGGCCCAGACUCCUACGGGAGGCAGCAGUGGGGAAUAUUGCACAAUGGGCGGAAGCCUGAUGCAGCAACGCCGCGUGCGGGAUGACGGCCUUCGGGUUGUAAACCGCUUUCGCCUGUGACGAAGCGUGAGUGACGGUAAUGGGUAAAGAAGCACCGGCUAACUACGUG